GAAGAUGCUGGAUGUGCCUUUGCCGUGAGGAAUGACGUAUGGCCCGAAGCUAUCUCUUGGAUGGCCUUGAUGAAGCUCCGGACCAGGCUUCAUUCCCCUCGGCGGAGUUGCAAAUGUGGACAC
RNAcentral lists this microRNA precursor (123 nucleotides) under Physcomitrium patens. Its description in RNAcentral is "Physcomitrella patens miR166k stem-loop (ppt-MIR166k)". Its record names the gene ppt-MIR166k. Lineage: Eukaryota; Viridiplantae; Streptophyta; Bryopsida; Funariales; Funariaceae. The record is from miRBase by way of RNAcentral.